This 243-nucleotide ribosomal RNA is filed under the name uncultured bacterium. Its description in RNAcentral is "partial 16S ribosomal RNA". It matches the Rfam family "Bacterial small subunit ribosomal RNA", at positions 529 to 771 of the family's 1533-position model. The record is from RNAcentral.
AGGGGGCAAGCGUUAUCCGGAUUUACUGGGUGUACAGGGAGCGUAGGUGGCAGGGCAAGUCAGAUGUGAAAACCCGGGGCUCAACCCCGGGAGUGCAUUUGAAACUGUCCGGCUGGAGUGCAGGAGAGGUAAGCGGAAUUCCUAGUGUAGCGGUGAAAUGCAUAGAUAUUAGGAGGAACACCAGUGGCGAAGGCGGCUUACUGGACUGUAACUGACACGGAGGCGCGAAAGCGUGGGGGGAAA